CGUAAGCUACUAUUUAUAUAGCGAAUUGGUGAUGGCGUCUUUUUACAGGCACUAACUCCGCCAUUCGUUGGACAAAGCCUAUGGGGGAAAUUAAUGGCGUUUUUGUAGGGUAUUUGGAUAAACAACGACAAUAAGAUAUCGCUUUCCUACCCCCUGCUCUGGGUUUGGUGAAUGGACCAACCAGACCCUCAAGACUACCUUGGGCAAGUCCCGUGAUUGGUACCAGGAAGGAUGGGAGAACAACCUGAAGGUAAGUCUCUUUGCACACAACAGCAGCAUCCAGGCCUCCACCGAGGACAGACGAGAGCCGCAGCUGUUGACUGAGGUAAACAAUGCAAUUGUUAUUGCAUAUACUGUAGUCUUUCAAUUUUUUGUAUAACGUACUUUCUGAUCACUGAAACCCCACCUGAUGUGUUCGAACCAGAUCAGAACGCCUUGGAGGACCACCUUCCUAGGAAAUAUAAUUGUAUUUAUUCCUGUUCUCAAUCAAGAGAGCAGCAGUGCCUGGACUUUGCAGUCCCCCUUCCGAGACUGGCUGCCUGUUGAGAACAAGGGACAGGCAGAACCUCCCUCCCACCCACACAGCAACCACCUCCUCUAUAUUCCACAAACCAGAAUUCAGUAUUUUAUCUAUGAUUGCCAUGUGAGUGUACAGAAAAUCAGUGGAAAAAAAUUCAUGACACAACUGUACCAAAAACGAUAAACUUUAAUGUAUGAAAAUAUAUUGACAGGUUGGGUUUCACAAGGUGUUCAUUAUUGGAAGCUGUAAGGUAUCCUUUGAUGGCAUUUAUUUGUUCCAGGUUAUUCAUUGUUGUAUCCUUGGACC
Long non-coding RNA from Oncorhynchus kisutch (coho salmon), 826 nucleotides. RefSeq lists it as uncharacterized. The transcript has 3 exons. The record is from RefSeq and is a predicted model, not a curated record. NCBI's taxonomy places the organism in Eukaryota, Metazoa, Chordata, Actinopteri, Salmoniformes, Salmonidae.